Molecule: non-coding RNA, 422 nt
Organism: Drosophila melanogaster (fruit fly)
Lineage: Eukaryota; Metazoa; Arthropoda; Insecta; Diptera; Drosophilidae
Source: Ensembl
UCGAUUCGGAUUUGGCGACUGCGAAAGAGCGGAGAAAGCUCAAGAGAGCGCAGAGAUGGAGAUAGCCGGUGCCCGGGGGGCUCCGGAUCGCCGGGGACAAUGAUAGUGUUGAUAACAAGUGCUUUGCACUGGAUAUGAGAAUGGGAAUCUUCUCCAAAACCCGAAAGCCCUGCACUGCAAGAAAUUCUAAUUGAAAAUUUUUAAAUUUCAAAUACCCACGCAUUAAAUACAUUUUUGUUUGGAAAACUCAAUGCCCACUGUGAGCCGGCGCUCGUAAAAAUCACAACUCACGAUCAUCGCUGUGAUCUACGGUUUUCAGAUUAAAAUGUAGAACAAUGCGGACCAUGACUUCUAGGAUUUUGUCUUGUGUGUAAAUGAAUGAAUCAAUAAGCUCAAGAGGUUUAAUGAACCAAUAAAAAAUC